UAGGGAAUCUUCCACAAUGGACGAAAGUCUGAUGGAGCAACGCCGCGUGAGUGAAGAGGGGUUCCGGCUCGUAAAACUCUGUUGUUAAAGAAGAACAUAUCUGAGAGUAACUGUUCAGGUAUUGACGGUAUUUAACCAGAAAGCCACGGCUAACUACGUUCCAG
Molecule: ribosomal RNA, 164 nt
Filed under: uncultured bacterium
Lineage: Bacteria
Description: partial 16S ribosomal RNA
Rfam family: Bacterial small subunit ribosomal RNA
Source: RNAcentral